Molecule: ribosomal RNA, 292 nt
Filed under: uncultured bacterium
Lineage: Bacteria
Description: partial 16S ribosomal RNA
Rfam family: Bacterial small subunit ribosomal RNA
Source: RNAcentral
GGAUUAGAUACCCUGGUAGUCUUAGCUGUAAACGAUGGAUACUGAGUGUUGGACGAAAUAAAGUUCAGUACUGUAGCUAACGCGUUAAGUAUCCCGCCUGGGGAGUAUGCUCGCAAGAGUAAAACUCAAAGGAAUUGACGGGGGCCCGCACAAGCGGUGGAGCAUGUGGUUUAAUUCGACGCAACGCGAAGAACCUUACCUGGGUUUGACAUCCCCGGCUCGCCCUGGAGACAGGGUUUUCUCUUCGGAGACCGGGUGACAGGUGCUGCAUGGCUGUCGUCAGCUCGUGCUG